AGAGUUUGAUCCUGGCUCAGGACGAACGCUGGCGGCGUGCUUAACACAUGCAAGUCGAACGGAAAGGCCCUUCGGGGUACUCGAGUGGCGAACGGGUGAGUAACACGUGGGUGAUCUGCCCUGCACUUUGGGAUAAGCCUGGGAAACUGGGUCUAAUACCGAAUAUGACCACGCUCUUCAUGGGGUGUGGUGGAAAGCUUUUGCGGUGUGGGAUGGGCCCGCGGCCUAUCAGCUUGUUGGUGGGGUAAUGGCCUACCAAGGCGACGACGGGUAGCCGGCCUGAGAGGGUGACCGGCCACACUGGGACUGAGAUACGGCCCAGACUCCUACGGGAGGCAGCAGUGGGGAAUAUUGCACAAUGGGCGCAAGCCUGAUGCAGCGACGCCGCGUGAGGGAUGACGGCCUUCGGGUUGUAAACCUCUUUCACCAGGGACGAAGCGCAAGUGACGGUACCUGGAGAAGAAGCACCGGCCAACUACGUGCCAGCAGCCGCGGUAGUACGUAGGGUGCGAGCGUUGUCCGGAAUUACUGGGCGUAAAGAGCUCGUAGGUGGUUUGUCGCGUUGUUCGUGAAAACUCACAGCUUAACUGUGGGCGUGCGGGCGAUACGGGCAGACUAGAGUACUGCAGGGGAGACUGGAAUUCCUGGUGUAGCGGUGGAAUGCGCAGAUAUCAGGAGGAACACCGGUGGCGAAGGCGGGUCUCUGGGCAGUAACUGACGCUGAGGAGCGAAAGCGUGGGGAGCGAACAGGAUUAGAUACCCUGGUAGUC
This 770-nucleotide ribosomal RNA is filed under the name uncultured bacterium. RNAcentral describes it as "bacterial SSU rRNA". It matches the Rfam family "Bacterial small subunit ribosomal RNA", at positions 8 to 795 of the family's 1533-position model. The record is from RNAcentral.